GACGAACGCUGGCGGCGUGCUUAACACAUGCAAGUCGAACGGUAAGGCCCUGCUUUUGUGGGGUGCUCGAGUGGCGAACGGGUGUGUAUCACGUGAGUAACCUGCCCUUUACUUUGGGAUAACUUCAGGAAACUGGGGCUAUUACCGCAUAUGAGCUCCUGCUGCAUGGUUGGGGUUGGAAAAUUUCGGCGUUUGGGGAUGGACUCGCGGCUUAUCAGCUUGUUGGUGAGGUAGUGGAUUAACACGGCUUUGACGGGUAGCCGGACUGAGAGGGUGACAGGCCACAUUGGGACUGAGAUAGGGGCAAGAGUGAAACGGGAGGCAGCAGUGGGAAAUAUAGCAAAAAGGGCGGAAGCAUGGUGCAGCAACGCCGCGUGCGGGAUGACGGCCUUCGGGUUGGAACCCGCUUGCGCGUGUGACGAUGCGUGAGUGACGGUAAUGGGUAAAGAAGCAACGGCUAACUACGUG
RNAcentral lists this ribosomal RNA (468 nucleotides) under uncultured bacterium. RNAcentral describes it as "partial 16S ribosomal RNA". It matches the Rfam family "Bacterial small subunit ribosomal RNA", at positions 28 to 507 of the family's 1533-position model. The record is from RNAcentral.